GGAGGAAAAGAACCAACAGGGAUUCCCCUAGUAACGGCGAGUGAAGCGGGAACAGCUCAAAUUUGAAAUCUGGCCCUUGGGUCCGAGUUGUAAUUUGCAGAGGAUGCUUUUGGUGCGGUGCCUUCCGAGUUCCCUGGAACGGGACGCCUUAGAGGGUGAGAGCCCCGUACGGUUGGCCACCAAGCCUGUGUAAAGCUCCUUCGACGAGUCGAGUAGUUUGGGAAUGCUGCUCAAAAUGGGAGGUAUAUUUCUUCUAAAGCUAAAUACUGGCCAGAGACCGAUAGCGCACAAGUAGAGUGAUCGAAAGAUGAAAAGCACUUUGAAAAGAGGGUUAAAUAGCACGUGAAAUUGUUGAAAGGGAAGGAUUUAUGACCAGACUUUUUCUGGGGGGAUCAUCCGGUGUUCUCACCGGUGCACUUCCCCCAGUUGAGGCCAGCAUCGGUUUCUGCCGGGGGAUAAAAGCUUUGGGAAUGUGGCUCCUUCGGGAGUGUUAUAGCCCGUUGCAUAAUACCCUGGCGGGGACCGAGGUUCGCGCAUUGCAAGGAUGCUGGCGUAAUGGUUAUUAAUCACCCGUCUUGAAACACGGACCAAGGAGUCGAACAUUUGUGCGAGUGUUUGGGUGUUAAACCCUCACGCGUAAUGAAAGUGAACGGAGGUGAGAGCCUUUAGGGGUGCAUCAUCGACCGAUCCUGAUGUCUUCGGAUGGAUUUGAGUAAGAGCAUAACUGUUCGGACCCGAAAGAUGGUGAACUAUGCGUGGAUAGGGUGAAGCCAGAGGAAACUCUGGUGGAGGCUCGCAGCGGUUCUGACGUGCAAAUCGAUCGUCAAAUCUGCGCAUGGGGGCGAAAGACUAAUCGAACCAUCAGUA
This 867-nucleotide ribosomal RNA is filed under the name Apiospora arundinis. RNAcentral describes it as "Arthrinium arundinis partial large subunit ribosomal RNA". It matches the Rfam family "Eukaryotic large subunit ribosomal RNA", at positions 52 to 949 of the family's 3401-position model. Lineage: Eukaryota; Fungi; Ascomycota; Sordariomycetes; Amphisphaeriales; Apiosporaceae. The record is from RNAcentral.